GUCGAGCGAACAGACGAGGAGCUUGCUCCUCUGACGUUAGCGGCGGACGGGUGAGUAACACGUGGAUAACCUACCUAUAAGACUGGGAUAACUUCGGGAAACCGGAGCUAAUACCGGAUAAUAUAUUGAACCGCAUGGUUCAAUAGUGAAAGACGGUUUUGCUGUCACUUAUAGAUGGAUCCGCGCCGCAUUAGCUAGUUGGUAAGGUAACAGCUUACCAAGGCAACGAUGCGUAGCCGACCUGAGAGGGUGAUCGGCCACACUGGAACUGAGACACGGUCCAGACUCCUACGGGAGGCAGCAGUAGGGAAUCUUCCGCAAUGGGCGAAAGCCUGACGGAGCAACGCCGCGUGAGUGAUGAAGGUCUUCGGAUCGUAAAACUCUGUUAUUAGGGAAGAACAAAUGUGUAAGUAACUAUGCACGUCUUGACGGUACCUAAUCAGAAAGCCACGGCUAACUACGUGCCAGCAGCCGCGGUAAUACGUAGGUGGCAAGCGUUAUCCGGAAUUAUUGGGCGUAAAGCGCGCGUAGGCGGUUUUUUAAGUCUGAUGUGAAAGCCCACGGCUCAACCGUGGAGGGUCAUUGGA
This 587-nucleotide ribosomal RNA is filed under the name uncultured Staphylococcus sp. RNAcentral describes it as "bacterial SSU rRNA". It matches the Rfam family "Bacterial small subunit ribosomal RNA", at positions 61 to 630 of the family's 1533-position model. The record is from RNAcentral. Lineage: Bacteria; Bacillati; Bacillota; Bacilli; Caryophanales; Staphylococcaceae.